UUUUAUUCACUAGUUUUAAACCCCACAACUCAUUCGAUAAAAUGCUUCACAGAAUCUAGUUUCGGCUGCACAGGUAUAUCUCAGUUUUGAGCUUUUGGUUGUUCAAUUAUUUUGCAUUGCGAUGAUUAUGAAAUGUGAAACUCGUUGCCUAACAAGGUUGGGUUUUGACUCAGAAUUUUCGAUUUUUUAUUUGCAUACAAAGUUUUUGGUCGAUUGACGUUUCUCAUUUUAUUGAAUUUGGUAUUAUUAUAGAGUUACGUAUCGUCUCUUAAACUGUAUUUUGCAAUUUCUGUGAAAGAUGACAAUAUUAGCAUCAUGUGCACGGCAAGGUAAUAUGCGCCUUUUUUUCUUUUUGACUUGGCAAAUCAACACGGAAACUUAAAAACCGCAAUUUUCUUCGUCCCUUAAUUUAUUAUUCUUUUUAUAAAAUAAAACAAACAAUUUUAAUUAAUAAAUCAUGAUAAAAGGAAAACUCUUUUGAAAUAUUGAAGUUAUUAUUAAUAUGCAUUUCAUGAAAACCGAAGAGAUGACCAUUUAUGGAUAAGGCGCAAUGACUUGUUAGAGCAUCACGCCACAUAGGUAGGACUAGGGAUAUUUAUGGUUCGUUUUGGAUUAGUUUUUUUCAAAAAAAUUAAAAUAAGUAAAUCAGUUUUUCAAAUAUUAGAAUCAAAUCAAAUUAAAUCAAUUAAAUCGAUUUUUCUCGAUUUGGUUUAUGUUAUUUUUUGAUUUUUUUUUUUUGGUGAUUUGUCGGUUUUUUCUUAAAUAUAAGACAUUCACUAUCAAGGACAUAUUCCGGCGGCAACAUUUUCAAUGUAACAUUAUCAAAUCAAUUGUCCUUUGAGAAAUCUAUUAUUUACCAAAAUAUAUUGAUGAUAAUUGAAUNNNNNNNNNNNNNNNNNNNNNNNNNNNNNNNNNNNNNNNNNNNNNNNNNNNNNNNNNNNNNNNNNNNNNNUUUACCAAAAUAUAUUGAUGAUAAUUGAAUCAAAUAGUGAUGAAUAAUUUAAGGACUCAAUUAAAAAUAUGUUAUUUUUAACACGAAAUGGAUUCGUACACUAAACAAAAGAAAACUACAAAUCAAACUAGAAUGUAAAGAUAAAGAACUAUAUUAAAAGUGUAAACUAUUAACAUUUACCAUAAAGUUUUUGAAACUUUCUAUAAUAAUAUACAUAUAUAUAGGUGUAAUAAUAAAUUUGAAAUAGACUCCUUUAUUCGGUUUGGUUCGGUUUUUUUUUAUUAAAACCAAACCAAACCAAAGUUGAUCGGUUUUUAAAAUUCAAAGUCAAACCAGACCAAACCAAGAAGUAUCGUGUUCUUUUGAUCGGUAUGGUUUAGUUUUCGAUUUGGUUCGAUUUUCUGGAUUUUUAUGAACAUCCCUAGGUAGGACCAUACGAUAUUAAUUCAAAUACUUUCACAUUUAAGAUACAUUUUAACCAUUUACUUCAAAUAAUUUUGCAUUUAAGAUCAGUUUGACCAAUUAGUUUCUUCAAAUAUUUUUUUAUUUCUCGAACUUUCUGCUCCUUUCACGCAUUUUUUAGAUCGAAAAGUCAAAUGCAAUAUUCCCUCCGGUUUAAAAUAAAUAAUUUUUUGAUUGUUUUCAUACAUAUUAAGAAAUCUAUCUUUUAGUAUUAAUUAGUAAUGGAUUGAUCAUAUUAACUUUUAUUAUCUCACAUAAAUAUUUUUAUCACAUAUUCCGACACUAAUAACCCAAGGACAAUAUAGAAAAAAAGGAAUUAAUUCAUUUUUGAAAUUUGAAAAAGUUAUUUAUUUUAGAAUACAAGUAAAAGAUCAAAAAAUCACUUAUUGUGAGUCGGAGGAAAUAGUAUAAUUAAGCAUCCUUCUUUAGUUUGACUUGCAAAUAAAACAAUAUGGAAUGUCAAUGAAAAGGAUAAGGAUAGGAAAAAUAAACUUAUUUGAAACUUAGAAAAUGGAUCAUUUCCAAUUAUCAUGAAAAAUACAAAAGUGUGAAUGAUCCGCCACAGGAUAUAACUUUUAUAUUUUAAGUUUUAUAUAUAAUUAGUCAACUACCAACAACCGCCAGGGAUGGAUCGAUCCCUUAAUCCUUCGGAAAUUUUGAGUUCGAACCUUGAAUGUAUCUCUUUUUUGGUAAUUAAGGCUUUUCAUUAAUCACCAAUGAAGUAACAUUACAAAAUCAUAGUCUAGCUUCAUCUCAGCUGACUAUCUGUAAGAUAACAUUUAAACUGUAUCUACUAUCCUAACUACCUAUCACUACUAUAUUCCAAGGUGUUGUAAUUCUUUUCUAAUUCUUGGGGUACCUCUAACAUUAGAAUUAUACACUACUUAUAGAAGUGUAUAAUAAGGAGAGAUUUCUAUUUUUCAAAUUAGUUGAAAGUCUCAAUACAAAUAACAAUACUUAUUCAAAUUAAUAUUUUUUUUUGAUGAAUGUAGUUGGACCAGUUCGCCGCAUAUUAAAAAAAUGGACAGACGAUGGUGAACUACCUUUUGUAGUGUUUUGGUUUCUUAUUCGGUGUCCAAUAUUUGUAUUGGUUUCUUAUUCGGUGUCCAAAAAUGUGGGCUAGAUUUAAAGCACUAGUUUGCUUAUCGCAGAAUAUAUUAUAAAAUUGUAUUAGGAGACUCAAUUUCUAAGUCUACCUGUCUAUCUAAUUCUUUGUGUAAUCUAUCUAUUCUUUUUAAUAGAUUUAUUACAAAUUCUUCUUGCUUUUUGAUUACUUUAUCCUUUGCUAGCAUUAAAUCAUGUUGCUCUUCAUUUUCAUCUUCUAAUUUCUUUAUUCUUUGUUUUAAAUCUAUAUUUUGUAUUAUUAAUCUUUCCAUUUUAUAUCUUAUUGCUUAGAUUUGAAACUAAUAUGUUUAAUUCACCUAUCUGCUUAUUCAUUUUUCUUAUUUCUUGAUCUUCUUCAAAUAAUGUCUUCUUGCUUGUUGGUCUAUUUAUUUGACUAGAACUUGGUAAUAAAUUACUUUGUUCUAUCAUAAAGGGUAGAUUUCUCGAACUAUGGGUUCUAAGAAACUCUCUUGAUACUUCAUCCUUUUUUAUUAAUGUACUAGUUUAACUAAUUGAAUUAUGGCUUCUAAGAAAUUCUCUUGAUACUUCAUCAUUUUUUAUUAAUGCACUGGUUUCACUAAAUAAUUUUCUAUAUAAAUAUUUUUCCAAUUCUUGUAAGUUAAACUUAAACAAGAGUUACUUAAUGCAUAGGCUAUCCUGUAGCAUAUUACUAAAAGGAUAUCGCCUUUUUCCAUUAAAUCUUUUUCUAGGAAAUUACAAAUUAUUCCUAGACAAUUGUCUAUUUUCUUUGUGCUUAGUGGUACAGGGAACUGAAGAGAUACUCAAAACUUUAUUGUUGUAUAUCCUAGAUCUCCUUCAAUUUCUCCUAACUUUUUGAAUUGAUUUUUCAUAAUUCUAUUGUUUUCAACUGUUAGAAUUACAGAUGUUUUAAUACCUUCUCUAAACGUUGAUCUAAGGAUUAUUUGUAUUGUAUUGAUAUGUAUGUAUCCUAUCUUACUUCUAUCUUCGCCUUUAAUAGCUGCUAAUCUUUUUUCAAUUUGAUUUAUAUCAACUAGCGGUGCUUGAAACGUAGUAGUUGCCUGUUCUAUUUUAACAGGUUGUUCUCCUUGCAUAAUACCAUAAUAUAUAAUAUUUUUCCUAGAUAUUUUUUGAAACAAAAGUUGUUUUAACUCCUUCUGUUUCAAUUAUAUCUAAACUUCCUUUAUAUUUUACUUGGUUAACUAUUUUCUUAUCUAAUAAAAUAUCUUGAAUAUAUUUUCCUUGAUUUUCUUCUAACUGAAUGAUAUUAUUAUCUAAAUCCAUUAGAUUAGAUUUUCUCUGAUCUGAUAUGGAUUUAGUCUUAUUCGUGGAAUUCUGACUGUGGGAAUCUAAAUCCAUUAGAUUAGAUUUUCUCUAAUCUGAUAUGGAUUUAGUCUUAUUCGUGAAAUUCUGAAUUGCUUUCCUUCUAUAUUUAACACUAACUCUUCAUUUCUAAUUGUAUACUCAAAAUGUUCUAAGAAGUCUAUUCCCAAUAGUACUUCUCUUGCUUUCUCUUGAUAAUCUACUAAAAGUUCUACU
RNAcentral lists this long non-coding RNA (4036 nucleotides) under Nicotiana benthamiana. Its description in RNAcentral is "long non-coding RNA (NBEN_LNC029471)". The record is from RNAcentral. Lineage: Eukaryota; Viridiplantae; Streptophyta; Magnoliopsida; Solanales; Solanaceae.